Myotis davidii is the source of this 76-nucleotide non-coding RNA. The record is from Rfam. NCBI's taxonomy places the organism in Eukaryota, Metazoa, Chordata, Mammalia, Chiroptera, Vespertilionidae.
GAGACACCCCUAUGGAGCAGGACUUGCUUCAGUGGGGCUUUGGUGCUCACUGAGUCUGCUCCUUGAGUAUAUCACU